GACGAACGCUGGCGGCGUGCUUAACACAUGCAAGUCGAACGGAAAGGCCCUGCUUUUGUGGGGUGCUCGAGUGGCGAACGGGUGAGUAACACGUGAGUAACCUGCCCUUGACUUUGGUAUAACUUCAGGAAACUGGGGCUAAUACCGGAUAGGAGCUCCUGCUCCAUGGUGGGGGUUGGAAAGUUUCGGCGGGUGGGGAUGGACUCGCGGCUUAUCAGCUUGUUGGUGGGGUAGUGGCUUACCAAGGCUUUGGUGGGUAGCCGGCCUGAGAGGGUGACCGGCCACAUUGGGACUGAGAUACGGACCAGACUCCUACGGGAGGCAGCAGUGGGGAAUAUUGCACAAUGGGAGGAAGCCUGAUGCAGCAACGCCGCGUGCGGGAUGACGGCCUUCGGGUUGUAAACCGCUUUCGCCUGUGACGAAGCGGGAGUGACGGUAAUGGGUAAAGAAGCACCGGCUAACUACGUG
RNAcentral lists this ribosomal RNA (468 nucleotides) under uncultured bacterium. Its description in RNAcentral is "partial 16S ribosomal RNA". It matches the Rfam family "Bacterial small subunit ribosomal RNA", at positions 28 to 507 of the family's 1533-position model. The record is from RNAcentral.